UACGUAGGGUGCGAGCGUUUGUCCGGAAUUACUGGGCGUAAAGAGCUCGUAGGUGGUUUGUCGCGUUGUUCGUGAAAACCGGGGGCUUAACCCUCGGCGUGCGGGCGAUACGGGGCAGACUUGAGUACUGCAGGGGAGACUGGAAUUCCUGGUGUAGCGGUGGAAUGCGCAGAUAUCAGGAGGAACACCGGUGGCGAAGGCGGGUCUCUGGGCAGUAACUGACGCUGGAGGAGCGAAAAGCGUGGGGAGCGAACAGG
Molecule: ribosomal RNA, 257 nt
Filed under: uncultured bacterium
Lineage: Bacteria
Description: partial 16S ribosomal RNA
Rfam family: Bacterial small subunit ribosomal RNA
Source: RNAcentral